AUUGAACGCUGGCGGCAUGCCUUACACAUGCAAGUCGAACGGCAGCACGGGUGCUUGCACCUGGUGGCGAGUGGCGAACGGGUGAGUAAUACAUCGGAACAUGUCCUGUAGUGGGGGAUAGCCCGGCGAAAGCCGGAUUAAUACCGCAUACGAUCCACGGAUGAAAGCGGGGGACCUUCGGGCCUCGCGCUAUAGGGUUGGCCGAUGGCUGAUUAGCUAGUUGGUGGGGUAAAGGCCUACCAAGGCGACGAUCAGUAGCUGGUCUGAGAGGACGACCAGCCACACUGGGACUGAGACACGGCCCAGACUCCUACGGGAGGCAGAAGUGGGGAAUUUUGGACAAUGGGCGAAAGCCUGAUCCAGCAAUGCCGCGUGUGUGAAGAAGGCCUUCGGGUUGUAAAGCACUUUUGUCCGGAAAGAAAUCCUUGACUCUAAUACAGUCGGGGGAUGACGGUACCGGAAGAAUAAGCACCGGCUAACUACGUG
Molecule: ribosomal RNA, 486 nt
Filed under: uncultured bacterium
Lineage: Bacteria
Description: partial 16S ribosomal RNA
Rfam family: Bacterial small subunit ribosomal RNA
Source: RNAcentral